RNAcentral lists this ribosomal RNA (492 nucleotides) under uncultured bacterium. RNAcentral describes it as "partial 16S ribosomal RNA". It matches the Rfam family "Bacterial small subunit ribosomal RNA", at positions 29 to 507 of the family's 1533-position model. The record is from RNAcentral.
AGUGAACGCUGGCGGUAGGCCUAACACAUGCAAGUCGAACGGCAGCACAGUAAGAGCUUGCUCUUACGGGUGGCGAGUGGCGGACGGGUGAGGAAUACAUCGGAAUCUACUUUUUCGUGGGGGAUAACGUAGGGAAACUUACGCUAAUACCGCAUACGACCUACGGGUGAAAGCAGGGGAUCUUCCGACCUUGCGCGAUUGAAUGAGCCGAUGUCGGAUUAGCUAGUUGGCGGGGUAAAGGCCCACCAAGGCGACGAUCCGUAGCUGGUCUGAGAGGAUGAUCAGCCACACUGGAACUGAGACACGGUCCAGACUCCUACGGGAGGCAGCAGUGGGGAAUAUUGGACAACGGGCGCAAGCCUGAUCCAGCCAUACCGCGUGGGUGAAGAAGGCCUUCGGGUUGUAAAGCACUUUUGUUGGGAAAGAAAAGCAGCAGGUUAAUACCCCGCUGUUCUGACGGUACCAAAAGAAUAAGCACCGGCUAACUUCGUG